This is a long non-coding RNA of Sorghum bicolor (sorghum), 605 nucleotides long. RefSeq lists it as uncharacterized. NCBI's taxonomy places the organism in Eukaryota, Viridiplantae, Streptophyta, Magnoliopsida, Poales, Poaceae. The record is from RefSeq and is a predicted model, not a curated record. The transcript is spliced from 3 exons.
GCCUCCUCGAUCUGCAUCCAACAUCAGCGCCCAAUCUGCUUCCACUCGUCGACGUCUCCUCUCCAUCUAUGCCACAAUUGCUCCCUCCUUCCAUCGCCCCUCUCCACCUACAUACACCGUUGGCCCCUUUGCCUUCACGCGACGCAGCCACCCUCUUCGCAUACACAUGCUCGUGGUGAGCACGCAACAACAUAGAGAGCAUAAGAAAAGAUCCGCUAUCGAUUGAAAGAGGAGUAGGAGGUUUGCUGCCACAAGAGAGGGAGGAGAAGAUCCUACCGCAAGAGGUGCAAGGGAAGAACAAGACAUGCAAAGUGGACGCCCCUACCUAUGUGUGUCUAGGUAUCUAGCACGUAGUUGUGCACAAUGUCAAAUUUCCAACAACAGUGAGCUAGGUUCACAGCCACAGCGAAAGCUAGACUCGAAUAUGGCCAGCUGGUUUCUUCGGAUGCAGGCAACCUAGAACUCUAGAAGAAGAGUACAAGAGGAUAAAAAGCAUGCAUGCGAUGUAUCGUCAUUGCUUGCCAUCGAGGUCGAGGCCUUAUUUAGUUGGAGGUCAAAAAGUUUUUUUAUGUCACAUUAAAUAUUACACGGGUGUUGUUGAAGUG